Molecule: ribosomal RNA, 156 nt
Organism: Gossypium arboreum
Lineage: Eukaryota; Viridiplantae; Streptophyta; Magnoliopsida; Malvales; Malvaceae
Rfam family: Bacterial large subunit ribosomal RNA
Source: Rfam
AGUAUUGAGAGGAUCUUUCCCUAGUACGAGAGGAUCGGGAAGGACGCACCUCUGGUGUACCAGUUAUCAUGCCCACGGUAAACGUUGAGUAGCCAAGUGCAGAGCAGAUAACUGUUGAAAGCAUCUAAGUAGUAAGCUCACCCCAAGAUGAAUGCU